AUGAAUGGGUGGGCCUUGAUCCCACAAAAAUU
This 32-nucleotide transfer RNA is filed under the name Anolis sagrei (brown anole). RNAcentral's name for it is "partial tRNA-Asx". Lineage: Eukaryota; Metazoa; Chordata; Lepidosauria; Squamata; Anolidae. The record is from RNAcentral.